AUUGAACGCUGGCGGCAUGCUUUACACAUGCAAGUCGAACGGCAGCGCGGGGGCAACCCUGGCGGCGAGUGGCGAACGGGUGAGUAAUGCAUCGGAACGUAUCCUGUAAUGGGGGAUAACGUAGCGAAAGUUACGCUAAUACCGCAUACGCUCGAGAGAGGAAAGUGGGGGAUCGCAAGACCUCACGUUAUAGGAGCGGCCGAUGUCCGAUUAGCUAGUUGGUGAGGUAAAGGCUUACCAAGGCGACGAUCUGUAGCGGGUCUGAGAGGAUGAUCCGCCACACUGGAACUGAGACACGGUCCAGACUCCUACGGGAGGCAGCAGUGGGGAAUUUUGGACAAUGGGGGCAACCCUGAUCCAGCCAUGCCGCGUGAGUGAAGAAGGCCUUC
Molecule: ribosomal RNA, 389 nt
Filed under: uncultured bacterium
Lineage: Bacteria
Description: bacterial SSU rRNA
Rfam family: Bacterial small subunit ribosomal RNA
Source: RNAcentral